RNAcentral lists this ribosomal RNA (417 nucleotides) under uncultured bacterium. RNAcentral's name for it is "bacterial SSU rRNA". It matches the Rfam family "Bacterial small subunit ribosomal RNA", at positions 505 to 916 of the family's 1533-position model. The record is from RNAcentral.
GUGGCAGCCGCCGCGGUAAUACGGAGGGUGCGAGCGUUAAUCGGAAUUACUGGGCGUAAAGGGCGCGUAGGCGGUCGCGCAAGUCGGGUGUGAAAGCCCCCGGGGCCCAACCUGGGAAGUUGUCAUUCGAUACUGCGUAACUAGAGUCUGGUAGAGGGAAGCGGAAUUCCGCAUGUAGCGGUGAAAUGCGUAGAUAUGCGGAGGAACACCAGUGGCGAAGGCGGCUUCCUGGACCAAGACUGACGCUGAGGCGCGAAAGCGUGGGGAGCAAACAGGAUUAGAUACCCUGGUAGUCCACGCCCUAAACGAUGAGGACUAGACGUUGGGGGGAUAAAACCCUUUAGUGUCGCAGCUAACGCGUGAAGUCCUCCGCCUGGGGAGUACGGCCGCAAGGUUGAAACUCAAAUGAAUUGGCGG